AGCGGCGGACGGGUGAGUAACGCGUGGGUGACCUGCCCCAUACCGGGGGAUAACAGCUGGAAACGGCUGCUAAUACCGCAUAAGCGCACAGAGCUGCAUGGCUCGGUGUGAAAAACUCCGGUGGUAUGGGAUGGGCCCGCGUCUGAUUAGGCAGUUGGCGGGGUAACGGCCCACCAAACCGACGAUCAGUAGCCGGCCUGAGAGGGCGACCGGCCACAUUGGGACGGAGACACGGCCCAAACUCCUACGGGAGGCAGCAUG
This 261-nucleotide ribosomal RNA is filed under the name uncultured bacterium. Its description in RNAcentral is "partial 16S ribosomal RNA". It matches the Rfam family "Bacterial small subunit ribosomal RNA", at positions 94 to 353 of the family's 1533-position model. The record is from RNAcentral.